RNAcentral lists this non-coding RNA (21 nucleotides) under Caenorhabditis elegans. Lineage: Eukaryota; Metazoa; Nematoda; Chromadorea; Rhabditida; Rhabditidae. The record is from RNAcentral.
UACUAUAAUAAUCGUGUAGAC